GCCCUUUUCAGGGCCGCCCACCUGGUCUCAUGAAGGACUGUGAGCAACCACCGAGCCUCAAGCACGAACUUUCACUUUCCCAGAAGGUUCCCCUGACCUGGCACCCCGCGUCCUGUAGAGGGCGCCUGACUUAACUCACCGCCCUGCAGGAAACACCAACAAAGCCGGGGUGAAGAGGCAGGAAAACGCAAAAAUAGCUGCAAAAGGACACCUAAUGGUCGCCCGAGUGCAUUCCUGAGGUCGUGAACCCUAGUAUGGCGUAGGUCAUUGCUCAUCUUGCUUUAUUUCCAACAUUUUGACCAUUAAACGCUCCUUACCGUGUUGUCAACCUACCGCCUUCCCAUCUGCAACCGCCCCCAGCCAAGGACCCUGGAGGGUAGAGGUAAAACCUGAUGUCCCUGCAAAGGCCACGGAACAUCUAAGAAAAGCCUCGCCACAACCACAGAAGGGAGCACAGAGAGCCCGGUGCCCUGUGCCCUGUGCCCUGGGGUCUUUGCGGAAGAGGACAGGUGCUCCCUGGGGCCAGACCCCCUGGCCUCACACCUCAGCUCCACGGUGGGCACAGACACGUCAUACACCUGGGGCCUCAGUGCCAACGCUUACAUGGAGGUCAUAACGCUGAUGUCUCUCCGGGCUCCUUUGAGUAUUAAAUGAGCCUAAUGCAUGCACAUUCGUACCUUAGAACUGGCUCCUCUCUGUCUCUUUUAUUCAAGUAGCACAGACAGAAGAGGAGACGGAAACAUCGGACCAUCUUCCCUAAGGGGCCGAACGCCACGCAGUGAAUGACUCGUGUUACCUGCUCCUCGCCUCCCGGUGUAACAUACAUGAUGCAGCCUUGGCAGCCCCCGCCCCCCGCACACACACACCUGUACCCGGAGCCCCGCCGUGGGAGAAAGGACACUCCUGGCAGCGUGUCCCCACACGGCCCUGUCGAUCGGGUGUCGAUGGAAAUCCCCCGUCAGGGAAAGGCCAUUAGAGCGACCGGGCAGCAGUCCUCUCUUAAGCCGCCACCGAUACUUUUCCCAGGAAAUACACCACCAAACACACGAUUAUUGUAUGAAAAUACACAAACUGUAUUUUAAAUAUAUACUGUUUUUUAACAAUUUGCCUGCCAUUAGCUUCUAUAGACCAACUUUAAAAUCAUUUUCGAAAGAAUCUUGAACUGAAAAUAUUCAAGAACAUCCAAAU
This is an RNA transcript of Myotis brandtii (Brandt's bat), 1188 nucleotides long. It is a transcript of the gene named histone H4, with no coding region annotated. The transcript has 3 exons. The record is from RefSeq and is a predicted model, not a curated record. NCBI's taxonomy places the organism in Eukaryota, Metazoa, Chordata, Mammalia, Chiroptera, Vespertilionidae.